GAUGCUAAAUUAGAUUUCAAAUAAAAGAAUAAUUGCGAAAAGGUAUGGAAUUAGAAAAUUAGAAAAUUAAAAUAUAUAUACAUACAUACAUACAAUCUUCUCCAGCUUCUCUGACUGCUUGCUUUCCCCUCACUGUUGUAUUAUUCAGGACCCCUUCUGCAGCACGCUUGAUUAAGUUUUUAUUUCUGCAAAUUACCAUUCUCGGAAAUGCACCACGCUACUGAAUCACAAGCUACAAGGCGGAAUACCUGCUAUCGAAUGCAAAGAAACAAAAUGUGCAGGAGUCGGCACAAAUGAUGAUGUUACGGCCUAAUCAUCUCUUUGUAUUGUUGCCGUCAUUAUGCAUUGGAAAACUCUUUGUCAACACUGUUAGCUCCUCAACAUCCAUGUCAGUAAAACAUUGUGCAAUUGAAAUGCAAAUUAGAAACUAAUGUCAACACAGUCACAAACACGGGAAGAGAUGAAGGGAUAGACUGUGAGGAGGAGUAAAGAUUGUUUUUUGUGUUUUAUUUCUUUGUCUCUAAUAGUUAUUGGCCAUCGAUACCAUUUAAGAGGACAAUGGGCAAAAGACCAAAUAAUUUGCACCCUUUCAAAGUGCAAUUAACAUAAAAGCACUCAAGUCACUUUGAAGGCAUUGGGAGUCUCGACUGUAACCAAAUUUUGCAGUAAAAAAAAAAAAGAAAAAAAUUUCUGAAAGAAAAUGAAAAAAAUAAAAAAUUUGAAACAGGAAAUAAAGAUUGGGCAACCUUAAAAGGCACGGUGUAAUACAUAUGUCCGGAUUAUGUUUUUAAAGAAAAGGAAACGAGGACAAAUACAUUUGUGUGGUUUUGUAAGAAUGUUUGAGUUAGAGCAUCACUUAAAGAACAUCUGUAUUAAUCGUUUCUAAAGAGAAAAUUAUAAAACGGCUUUUACAUAACUGAAAAAUAACUGGAUUUAGCUGUAUUGUAAUUAAUUUUGCUUAAAGCAGUUUCCUUCUUUUACCCCACUGCAUUUACUUUCAUUACUAGUUUCCAAAAAAUGUUUUGGGUUAAUUGUGUUGACCUGGCUCCAGUUACUUUGUUCUCAAAGCUGUCCUAAAGUGAGUUAAAUGAAAAAAAUGUUUUUCUAUUCCAAGACUGUUGUAUCUUUUUUUAUAUAUAUUAAAACCUUUCAGUGUUUUGUGUAAUUGCUGAAUAAAUCUUUCUGAAUAAAGAAAACAUAACUUCAGAUUUUUUUUCCUUUUUCCCCAUUAAAAAAUAAAAAUAAAUCUUGACUGAGAAAGAUGCCUAUAAACCUCCACUUGAUGACCCUAUUGGAACAUUUCUUUUAAGUUUGUGGAACAGGUGGUCAAACAUGAGGAUUCUGGAGUGCUUAGUGGGACAUCCUGCCUGCAGCCCAUCAUGACAGUGAUCAGCGUCCAGGCGUGUUUCUCCUGAGGCGACGCAGGCAGCAGUUAGGGAAAUAAUGAUGGACUGGACAGUGGGAACCUCAGAUCUGACGGCAUGCUAUCAUUAUGGAAAGGCAAUGUCUUCUCCGGGGGUGUGCUGCAGCUGAAUGAGGCUCAGCGGAGUUUUAACGCAGGGUUUUUAUUGGCCGAGGCUGACAUCACCGGGGGAACAAAGUGGAAUUCCGGAACAAGGGAUUCUCUGAACCUUGGUGAGUGUGCAGCAAAACGUUCAUUUCAAACCAAUCUGGCUCCUUACAAAGUGUUUUCCACCUGAGUUAUAUGAUUUUCUGGGAAGUGCGGCAUUGAAUUGAGCUCAGUGAUGCAAAUUUAAGAAGAAAACCUCAAGGAGUUGGCAAGAACUGUUAGGGAAAAAAUAAAAAACCUUAUUGCAACAGAUGACAUAUUCCGGCGCAAUAAUACCUGAAUGGUGCCUGCAGUGGGAAUCCUCUCCUUUUCAUGUUCUAGACACCAUUUCCAGUAGCUCAUUUCAGCACACACACACACAGACUCACAAACGCACGGUGAUCCAUGUCCAAAUGGUGUGGUGAGGACUCACAAAAGGCUCAACAGGAAGCGACUAAUCCUUGAUCUGUGUGGCGUCGCAAGAAUGGCCGCAAAACUCACACCAAGUGGCACACAAACUCAGAAAUGCACACGAUCACUGCUCACUUCCAGUUACCACCCAGAAAAAGAGAAAGAAAGAAAAAGGAAAACAAUUUUUUGGGGGGUAAAAUAAUCAAACUACGAUCAUAAUGGUGGGCAGCCUGGUUUAAAAGUGCAUCCGUCGUCCUGGGGGACCUACCAGAAGGGCACACUUUGGGGGUAAACAAAGCCACCACAAAUAGGACAGUCUCCAAUCUGUGUGUGUGUGGCACAACGGUGGAGACUGACAGGGAGGCAACAUGAGAGGGACAAGCCUUUUAACAUCUGGCUAAGCACUGACAGGAAGAGACGCACACACACUGGAGAGCAGGCAGGCGAGUCCCAGUCCUAAUUAUUAGAACACUCUUACUUAACUUAACCCUGCCACUAGACC
Non-coding RNA from Oryzias latipes (Japanese medaka), 2462 nucleotides. The record is from RefSeq and is a predicted model, not a curated record. Lineage: Eukaryota; Metazoa; Chordata; Actinopteri; Beloniformes; Adrianichthyidae.